This is a long non-coding RNA of Zingiber officinale, 3535 nucleotides long. RefSeq lists it as uncharacterized. Lineage: Eukaryota; Viridiplantae; Streptophyta; Magnoliopsida; Zingiberales; Zingiberaceae. The transcript has 2 exons. The record is from RefSeq and is a predicted model, not a curated record.
GCAAACACAAAUAAAAUGUCAACUUAUUUGGUUUGCCAAAUGAACAAAGGAUCUUGAACACAAUCUUUGGACUAGGGAGCUCGAGGAUUCAAGUCGCACGGGUGCUCAAACCCAGUUGGGGUGCUCGGGAGACAACUAAGUUAGGGAGCUUGGGAGACGGUCGAGUCGGGGAACUAAGGAGAUAGCCAAGUCAAAUACUCGUAGUCGAGCUGACAAAUAACUCAGAAGGCCGAGUUGAAGCACUUGUGUGGACGAGCUAUUGAAAAACUUAGGUGGUUAAGCUGAUUAACGACUCAAGAGACCGAGCAGCUGAACAACUCGAAAGACCAAGUUGCUGAACAAAUGGAGUCGCCGAGUUGGGUAGUUAGGAGACCAAGCUGUUGAACGACUAGGGAGCCCAAGUCAGGUAGUUGAAAGGUCGAGUGGCUAAAGGACUUGAGAGCCUAGUCUCUCUACUAAGCACAAUUGAGGCUUGUGAUAAUAUAAUUUUCUUAAAAUAGAUCUAUCCUCUCUCUGGUGGUACUUAGAGGUUUAAAUACAUGUCCUCAUAAUACAAUAGUUAAACCACAUUAGCAACCAAGUACUAAUUAUUUGUGGCGACCUAGAGGUACUUGAUGAUGGAUUGUGGAUGAUUGGAUUACUACUGCCCAAGAAAGAGCCUCUAUUUAUAAAUUCAAAAUCCUAACCGCCAUUAAUCCUACUUAAUGGCCAUUAUUUGACCAUUAACUUUCUCUGUUGGCUUACUCAAAAGGCCAGCAACUUAUUUUAGGUCAUAACUGAUAUGCGCAUUUCAUAUAAAGUUUUUAUCAUAGUUUGGCGCACAUCUUGUCUCAUUUUAUAUGUAUAUAUUUUAUCUUUCAUCUCUUUGUAUUUUAUUUUCGUAUUUUCCUAAUUUGGAGAACUACUCAUUUAUUUCUUUUGAUAGGGCAUAAAAAGGAGCAAAGCGGAGCUUAAAAACCAACUUUCGAGGGCAUCCCAGCUACCACGCCGUGGCCAAUUUGGAGGGGUCAUGCCCCAAUUGUUUAUCACAGACCCUUUCAUGGGAGGUUGUGCUAGCCAACACGGCCGUGUUCGAUUUCCAGGAGUUUUCUAGAAGCCACCACGAACGACCAUGCUAGCCAUCAUGGAUGGUUGUGCCAACCGGUAUGGCCAUGUCGCCACUUGACGGAGGUCAUGGCACCUGACACGGGCAGCCGUACCAGCCGCCACGGGCCCGUGUUAGGCGCUUGGAAAAAUAGUAUAAAAGCUGAUUUUGAGGAGGAUUUUGAGGAGGAAGGGGAUCUAGAUUGGGAGCCACCCAAGGGCCCCUAGAAGACUUCGAAGGAUGAUCACAAGGGGAUUUGAUGCCUUCGCACAUAGAAUUUUGGAUCGGGGAGCAUCCGAAGACGAUAUCAAGCAUCAAGUCUAAGCUUUCUUCUCUUUUUUCUAAAUUUAGUCUUGAUUGUAACUGGUUGAACGAUGAUCUCUGUUUGUACCUUCAUUCCUAUGGAGUGGACUCUUGAUUCUAGGAUUAAGGAUUAGUCCUAUGAUAUGUAGACACUUUCUAUUGAAUCUAUUAAGUUUAAUUGUUUCUUAUUCAAUGAUAUUUGAUGAACCAAAAGGAGAACCCAAUCCUUCAACCCGUAAAACCUCAAGGUUUGGAGAGUCGACUACAAAAGGAGAUCGGUAUGUCACGAGGAGCAAUAGGCUGUUAUAAAUUUUAAUAGAUUGAUUUUAAUUCAUCAUCACACAAUAAGGGAGGGCAACUCGGGGGUUGUGGGAUCACAUGACAGGAGUCUCUUUAGGAAAGCAAUCCCUCAGCUCUGUUGCUCUGACAGUAGACAAUAAAUUGGAAUGGAUACAUCGGUGUAGUUCCAAAUGUCCACAUCGAAUACCCUAGGAUAGUUUACCUACAUAAACAACCAUUGAGGAUAGGAAACCAAAUGUACAUUAAGUGUUUACAAUCAUUGCGGUGAAACCGAAAUCCUAAAAUUGCUUUUCCCUAUCGAAUACUCUCAGAUCACUCUUCUUCCCUUCCCUCUCUUCUCCUUCAAAUCUCUUUCCUUACUAUAUUCUCUACUCUUCUUUCUAAGAUCACUAGUUCUUCAACAACCUCUCUCUCUCGCGAUUAGUCUAGACAAUUGCAUUUGUUUAAUAAACUAGUACUUAGCCACCAAAUAUUUUUUUAUUAUUUGAUGACAUUCAGGGGACUUGUGGAUGUCACAUCAGUGACUAUUCAUGUGUACGCUACAAGUUUUGAGGCAGAAGGAAAAUAAAUCGAGUGGCAAAAUACAGGUCACUCUAAUAAAUUUGGUUUGUACUGAGAUUACUAGUGAUGCAUCCUUGCUUAGAUGCAAGGUCAAGGGAUAGAACAUGUAAUUGACCCUAAAUAGUGGACACAAAUGCAAUUGGAUGGUGUGAUGGAUUAGGGAAAGGGUUGUAUUAUAAUAAGUAUAGACAUUUAAAUGUUGAAGUAUUAUCUUGUGCUAAUUAUGUUCGGUUUAUUACUGACGGAGGUUGACUUUAAGAUUCUGCACUUGUGUUGGAAGCAACUUAGUAACACUAAGAUGAAAGAGCCAUAAAAGUAAAAUAUAGUUUUAUGACACAGCAUAUGAGAAAAUGUGGGCCAAGUGUUUUACCAGAUUUCAAACAACUAAACCCUGUAAUGAUUUGAUUGCAUUGCAACUAUGACAAGAAAUCUAGUGUUUCAUGAAUGCACUAAUCAUAUUGAAGUUUACUACCACCUUAUCCAAGAUUCUAUUACCUUCAAAAGAUUGGCAUAGCAUAUACAUGUUUUGAGGUACAUAUACGCUCCAACCUGAGGAGAAUGUUAAAAACAAUGAAUUUAGUUCCAAAUUGCUAGUUACUAAUAAAUUGUUAAACUUGGGAUUUUAUGUGCUAUAAUCUCAUUGAUAAUCAAUACAACAUAAUAGUUUGAAUUGCUAGUUAGUAAUUUAUACAUUCAGUUUAAUUAUUCAUGAUUGUCACCUCCUUCAUUAUCCUGAAGUCAACUUCAUGUUUGAGGAGCACUGAAUAAGAAAAAUGUGGAACUGCAUUUUGAUUUUUGUGAAUGUAAAGAAUGUUUUAACAUCAUGUCUUUAAUAUGACCAUCAAUUCUUGAUUUCAAAUGUAUUUUGAUUUUGUGAUGGUCUUUCAGAUGCAUUCUGGAAUCAAAUAACUUUGAGUUAUAUUGCAUUUAUAUUGCUUCUGAUGCUCUUGCCACUUUUAAGGAUUUGCUUACAAAAAAAAAUGAAACAACAGUCUCUCUGUUUCUGAUUUCCUAUUACGAAUAGGGUAAUUGCUAAGUUCUCCAUAUGCUACUCUUGUCAGUUAUAUUUCCUCUUAAUCCAGAAUAGAAGGAUAGUUUUCUGGAGGACCGAUCUGCUUGUUGCUUAACUUGUAUCAGAUGUGCUCAUCUCAUCGAAGUGCGUUGUUGCAGUUCUUCGAGCUUUCUGAGAAACUAUUGGCCUUUCCAAAAUAUGUAACAAGAAGACAAUCCUUAAAGGGUUGUUACUUUACUGAUACGCUUAUCUAGAUUGAAUGUUUGCUCCUUUUA